CUGUACGCCCCCCUGAACCGGGCCCAGUGUCAUCUCUGCUUAUUAUUUGUGCAUACCGUAUACGUUGUAUUUUCUGUGCAGAUGGAAAUGCAAAAGACAGUUAAUGCAAACAAACCCAUUGUACUCUUAUUCCCUCAUCUAAUGACGAUCGGUAAGGAAUCGGAUCGAUAAGUGAAAU
Molecule: long non-coding RNA, 178 nt
Organism: Sphaeramia orbicularis (orbiculate cardinalfish)
Lineage: Eukaryota; Metazoa; Chordata; Actinopteri; Kurtiformes; Apogonidae
Exons: 3
Source: RefSeq, a predicted model, not a curated record